RNAcentral lists this ribosomal RNA (473 nucleotides) under uncultured bacterium. RNAcentral's name for it is "bacterial SSU rRNA". It matches the Rfam family "Bacterial small subunit ribosomal RNA", at positions 8 to 526 of the family's 1533-position model. The record is from RNAcentral.
AGGGUUUGAUCAUGGCUCAGAAUGAACGCUGGCGGCACGCUUAACACAUGCAAGUCGAACGAGAUCUUCGGAUCUAGUGGCAGACGGGUGAGUAACGCGUGGGAACCUGCCCAGUAGUAGAGGACAACUUGGGGAAACUUAAGCUAAUACUUUAUACGUCCUUCGGGAGAAAGCUUUAUGCGCUAUUGGAUGGGCCCGCGUUAGAUUAGUUUGUUGGUGAGGUAAUGGCUCACCAAGACUACGAUCUAUAGCUGGUCUGAGAGGAUGAUCAGCCACACUGGGACUGAGACACGGCCCAGACUCCUACGGGAGGCAGCAGUGGGGAAUAUUGGACAAUGGGGGCAACCCUGAUCCAGCGAUGCCGCGUGAGUGAUGAAGGCCCUAGGGUUGUAAAACUCUUUCGUCAGGGAAGAUAAUGACGGUACCUGAAGAAGAAGAUCCGGCUAACUCCGUGCCAGCCGCCGCGAUAAUAC